GAGGAUGUUGGCUUAGAAGCAGCCAUCAUUUAAAGAAAGCGUAACAGCUCACUCACUUAGAGAGUCUGCGCCGCAGAUGAUCGGGGUUCAAGUAUAGUACCGAAACUGAGGGCUUGUACUUUCUUCGGAUAGUACAAGCGGUAGGAGAGUAUUCUACUCUGCGUUGAAGGAGAAGGGGUGACCCACUCUGGAGCGUGUAGAAGUAAGAAUGUUGGCACAAGUAACCACAAUGCGGGUGAGAGACCCGCACAUCGAAAGACGAAGGAUUCCUUGGCAAUGGAAAUCAGCCAAGGGUUAGUCGGGCCUAAGGAAAUGGCGAAAGCCGAAUCCGAUGGACACACGGUUAAUAUUCCGUGACUAGUGCAGUAUGCGAUGGGAUGACGGAGUGUAGUAUGUACCGCCCACUAUUGGAUGGGGGUGUGUGCCUUGAGGGCGGAGCCGAGGAAAAUCCCGGUUCCUGUGUUUAAUCACGAUCCCAAAUGGAGCAUCGAUGCCGUGGUUCGCCACGGACAAGGGUACAAAGCACGCUUUCAAGAAAAUUCUCUAAGCUUAAUAUUGCAGUAACCGUACCUAAAACCGAAACAGGUAGUCAGCUCGAGUAGAGCAAGAUGAACGAGUGAAGGUCCUCCAAGGAACUCGGCAAAAAAGCAGCCGUAACUUCGGAAUAAGGCUUGCCCUGUCCAGCAAUGGAUUGGGGCCGCAGCUAAAGUAUCUCUGGCAACUGUUUAUCAAAAACACAGCUCCCUGCGAACUCGCAAGAGGAAGUAUAGGGGGUGACACUUGACCAAUGCCAGAAGGUCAACCACUUGCGGUGCGAUUAUAUCAAGCUGACGAGUGUAAGCCCUGGUGAAUGUCGGCCGUAACUAUAACGGUCCUAAGGUAGCGCAAUUCCUUGUCAGGUAAGUUCUGACGCGUUGAAUAGUGUAAUGUCUGGAGAACUGUCUCGGAGGACAGCUCGGUGAAAAUACAAUCCCGGUGAAGAUGCCGGGUACCUGCAGUUAGACGAAAAGACCCUAGAAGCUUUACUGCAGCUUGAUAUUGAGCAUACGAUUGCGAUGCGUAGCAUAGACGUGAGACUUUGAAGGGCGCUUUCGGGCAGCCUGGAGUCGCCAGUGAAAUAGCGUUCUUCGUUGUUGUAUGUUCUAACCCCGAGGGUAAAAAUCUCGGGAGACAGUAUCUGGUGGGCAGUUUUAGUGGGGCGCUAUCCUCCUAAAAAGUAACGGAGGAGUUUAUUAAGGUCAGCUAGCCGUGAAUGGAAACCAUGGCGAUAGUGUAUGGGCACAAGCUGGCUUGACUGCGAGACGUACGUGUCGAGCAGAUGCGAAAGCAGAGCCAAGUGAACCGACCGUUCGCAUUAGAUGCGGCGGAAGAUUAUCGGACAAAAGCUACUCUAGGGAUAACAGGCUAGUUCCGCCUAAGAGUUCAUAUCGACGGCGGAGUUCGGCACCUCGAUGUCGGCUCAUCUUAUCCUGGGGCUGGAGAAGGUCCCAAGG
RNAcentral lists this ribosomal RNA (1493 nucleotides) under wastewater metagenome. RNAcentral's name for it is "bacterial LSU rRNA". It matches the Rfam family "Bacterial large subunit ribosomal RNA", at positions 1094 to 2570 of the family's 2925-position model. The record is from RNAcentral.